AUGGCAUUAUGAAUCCUACUAAAGCUAAUGGAGAUUUUAUUUUUUACAUAUAUAGCACUGAAAAUUUGCCCCCAAAUGUUCCUUGUGUUCUUUCCUCUUGGACUCCCAAGGAUUGCAUGAGAAAUUUUCUUUUUCCACUGUCCUUGAGAGUUUUUGAUUUCAUGAACAAAAAUGAGAAGGAUGACUGUAUCCCAUACAAGCAAGUAUGCCAGAGCAUUGCAAAAAUGGCAGCCAGACGGUGACCAUCAGUCCUGCAGCCAGACCUGCUGGAGUUCCUGGGCUUGGAUGGAGCUCUGAUAGCUUCAAAGAGAUCUAUCCAGUGCCAGGGGACACCCUUGUUUACAGAAAUACAUUGCGGCAUGCCAGUCUUCUUUUAAUGUAUCAUCUGUUAGAAAAGGCUCUUAAAAAGGAAUUUUCAAGUUCCAGAUGAAGAAAACUGCAGUUGUCCCAGUAACUUUACAAAACUGUUCUCUGAUCUUUUUCACAUGAAGAGAGUGAGCAGAAGUCACUGAACCAAUGACAUUUCUUAAGUGGGAGGAAUGUCUUACUUAAUAUCUACAGAGAAAAUGUUUCUUCCUUUGAUUGCACUUAGUUUCCCAGUAUCCAGCUGAGAGCUGUGAUAUAGGCAUUGAGGAGAGGGUUAAUCCUUUAAGAAACUUGAUGAUGAACAAUGUGAAGCUUUGUUUUCAUUUGAGAAAACUUCUUUAAAAAAAAAAAAAAGGAAAAAAAAAAAGUGCUCUUUCAGUUUCUGAAGUGGUUGCCAGGACUUUCUGUCCCAUGAGAAGGUAAGGUGGCAGCCACAUGACAUAUGGGCAGGAUUUUAUGAAUCCUACAAGAGGUUAGAGAGUCUGUCUCACUUUCAAAGAGAUGCCACUGUAUUUAUAAGAUGGCCUGUACCAAGGGAGAAUCAAACUGAAACAUGCAGACUUUACAUUCUGUAAUAGUUUGC
RNAcentral lists this long non-coding RNA (949 nucleotides) under Anas platyrhynchos platyrhynchos (common mallard). RNAcentral describes it as "lncRNA (ENSAPLG00000029018.1)". The record is from RNAcentral. Lineage: Eukaryota; Metazoa; Chordata; Aves; Anseriformes; Anatidae.